This 1082-nucleotide ribosomal RNA is filed under the name uncultured soil eukaryote. RNAcentral describes it as "SSU rRNA". It matches the Rfam family "Eukaryotic small subunit ribosomal RNA", at positions 1 to 1178 of the family's 1831-position model. The record is from RNAcentral.
ACCUGAUUGAUCUUGUCAGUUGUAUAUGCUUCUCUUAAAGAUUAAACCAUGCAAAUCUAAGUAAAUUGGAUUUUAAAAUAGAAACGGUAGAGAGCUCAUUAAAACAGUUUGAAAGAAUAGGAAUAACUUUGUAAGUCUUCGGAUUUAUAAAACAGGAUAUUCCAUCGAAUUGAUGAAUUAAUACGUUGUAGCAAGAACUCGAAAGAUCGCAGGUAUUUACGGAUAACGAAAGAUUAGAGUUUGAUUUCGGAGAGGUGGCCUGAGACACUGCCACCACUUCUAAGGAAGGCAGCAGGUGCGAAAAUUACUCAAUGACACAUCGUCGAAGUAGUGACGAGAAAUACCAGAAUUGGGCCCGUAUGGGACAGUGUCUGGGAUGAUUACAAUUUAAAAACCUUAAAUAGAAACCAUUAGAGGGCAAGUCUGGUGCCAGCAGCCGCGGUAAUUCCAGCUCUAAGAGUGUAUCUGAAAGUUGUUGCAGUUAAAACGUUCGUAGCUAAUAUUAAUAAAGUUAGCUUUUCAAACGAUCAGAAAUGAAAGGAUGAAAUUUAGACUUUAUAAAGCUGCUAAUAAUUUGCAAGUGUCUUGGAAACUCGAUAACUGCCUGCUAUGCCUUAAAAACAUAGUAGUUUAUUAGCAAGGAUUAACUUUGAAUAAAUUUGGGUGUUCAAAACAAGCUAUAAAGCUUUGAAAACAUUAGCAUGGUAUUACAAAAUACGAUAGUUUCGGCAUUAACUCAAGGCCUCAAAACCUUGUGUCGGACUAUAAUGAAAAAAGAGAGUUGUUGGGGUCACCUUUAUUCUUUGGGGAAGGGUGAAAUCUUAUGAUCCAAAGAAGAAACACUAAGGCGAAAGCACCUAGACCAGGAUGUUUUUGUCAGUCAAGAUCGAAAGUAGAGGGCGCGAAGAUGAUUAGAUACCGUCGUAGUCUCUACAGUAAACUAUGUUGAUUUAGGAUGAUAGAUCAUUUUUUUAUGAUCUCUAUUGAACUAUACGAGAAAUCCAGAAUAUUCGAACUCUGGGGGUAGUAUGGUCGCAAGGCUGAAACUUAAAAGAAUUGACGGAAGAGCACCACCAGGCGUG